CUCCCGCCGGCGACCGGCGCACGGGUGAGUAACACGUAUGAAACCUGCCCGUAGCAGGGGGAUAAGCGGAAGAAAUUCCGUCUAAUACCGCGUAACAACCCAUGGAGGCAUCUCUGUGGGUUUAAAGGAAGCGAUUCCGGCCACGGAUGGUCAUGCGUCGCAUUAGCUUGUUGGCGGGGUAACGGCCCACCAAGGCGACGAUGCGUAGGGGUUCUGAGAGGAAGGUCCCCCACACUGGUACUGAGACACGGACCAGACUCCUACGGGAGGCAGCAG
RNAcentral lists this ribosomal RNA (276 nucleotides) under uncultured bacterium. Its description in RNAcentral is "partial 16S ribosomal RNA". It matches the Rfam family "Bacterial small subunit ribosomal RNA", at positions 82 to 354 of the family's 1533-position model. The record is from RNAcentral.